GUGGCUGCAGGCGGAGCGGCCGGUGCCAGCCCCGUCGCUCGCGUCCGCGCUCCUCCGCCCCGGGGCGGUCGAUGGGACGGAGCGCCGCGGAGAAGGAGGCGGCGCCCGUCGGGGGCUAGGGCGGCGCGGGAGCCUGCCCGGCGGCUUGGGCAUGGAGGGCCGCAGGACCUGAGCCUUGCCCCGCGGGGAGCAGCCCAGUAGCCGGCGAUGGGGACCGAGCGGGGCUGCCGCCUCGCCUGGCCGUGAGUGCCGCGCCUCUGCUGCCGCCUUUUCGCCGCCGCCUCGGCCCCUCUUGAAGCGCCGAGCCGCUCGGGAACAUGGCCCUGGAGCAGCUCUACUCGGUCCUCAAAGUGUUGUUAAUAACAAUACUUGUAGUGGAAGGCAUUGCUGUGGCCCAAAAGACCCCAGAUGGACAAAAUAUUGGAAUGAAGCACAUUCCUGCAACCCAGUGUGGCAUUUGGGUUCGAACCAGCAAUGGAGGUCAUUUCGCUUCACCAAAUUAUCCUGACUCAUAUCCACCAAACAAGGAAUGUAUCUACAUUUUGGAAGCUGCUCCACGUCAAAGAAUAGAGUUGACCUUUGAUGAACAUUAUUAUAUAGAACCAUCAUUUGAAUGUCGGUUUGAUCACUUGGAAGUUCGAGAUGGGCCAUUUGGUUUCUCUCCACUUAUAGAUCGUUACUGUGGUGUGAAAAGUCCCCCAUUGAUUAGAUCAACAGGUAGAUUCAUGUGGAUUAAGUUUAGUUCUGAUGAAGAACUCGAAGGACUGGGAUUUCGAGCAAAAUACUCAUUUAUUCCAGAUCCAGAUUUUACUUACCUAGGAGGUAUUUUAAAUCCCAUCCCAGAUUGCCAGUUCGAGCUGUCAGGAGCUGAUGGAAUAGUGCGUUCUAGUCAGGUAGAACAAGAAGAAAAAACGAAACCUGGUCAAGCAGUUGACUGCAUAUGGACGAUUAAAGCUACCCCAAAAGCUAAGAUUUAUUUGAGGUUCCUUGAUUAUCAGAUGGAGCACUCAAAUGAAUGCAAGAGAAACUUUGUUGCAGUCUAUGAUGGAAGCAGUUCUAUUGAAAAUCUGAAGGCCAAGUUCUGCAGCACUGUGGCCAACGAUGUAAUGCUAAAAACAGGAGUUGGGGUGAUACGGAUGUGGGCAGAUGAAGGUAGUCGGCUUAGCAGGUUCAGAAUGCUCUUUACUUCCUUUGUGGAGCCUCCCUGCACAGGCAGCACUUUCUUUUGCCAUAGCAACAUGUGCAUCAAUAACUCUUUAGUCUGUAAUGGCGUUCAGAACUGUGCGUACCCUUGGGAUGAAAAUCACUGCAAAGAAAAGAAAAAAGCAGGACUAUUUGAACAAAUCACUAAAACUCACGGAACAAUUAUUGGCAUUACGUCAGGAAUUGUCUUGGUCCUUCUCAUUAUUUCUAUUUUAGUGCAAGUGAAGCAGCCUCGAAAAAAGGUCAUGGGUUGCAAAACUGCUUUUAAUAAAACUGGAUUCCAAGAAGUGUUUGAUCCUCCUCAUUAUGAACUGUUUUCACUGAGAGACAAAGAGAUCUCUGCAGACCUGGCCGACCUGUCGGAGGAGCUGGACAACUACCAGAAGACGCGGCGCUCCUCCACUGCCUCCCGGUGCAUCCACGACCACCACUGCGGGUCGCAGGCCCCCAGCGUCAAACAAAGCAGGACCAACCUCAGUUCCAUGGAACUUCCCUUCCGAAAUGAUUUUGCACAACCACAGCCAAUGAAAACAUUUAAUAGCACCUUCAAAAAGAGUAGCUACACUUUCAAACAGGCGCACGAGUGCCCUGAACAGGCCCUAGAAGACAGAGUAAUGGAGGAGAUCCCCUGUGAGAUUUAUGUCAGGGGGCGAGAAGACUCUGCACAAGCAUCCAUAUCCAUCGAUUUCUAAUCUUCUACUGAAGGUGACCCUGAUUAUUAAGUGUGUACGGGCGCAGCCCGCAGAGCACCAUGCUGCUCUCAGCAGCCAGCCCUCUUCUCCUGUCAAAACUGGAAAGACCAUCAUUUCCCAUUAACCUAUUGUAAUGGUGAAGUUUUUAUUAUCUCAGGCAGUCUAUAUAUGUUAACCCAACCGAGGAACUUAACUCCAUUCAGUAAAAAAAAAGCAUCUAUUGUUCAGUGUCACACACACAAAGGCCCAGUCGCACAGCAUGAGGAGGCGCGGCAGCGCUGCCCAGGCUCGAGCUGCCCGCGGGCCUCAGCAAAGGAAGGCGCUUCUGGCAGACACAGCUCUGUCAGUGUGUUGGUCCCAUGAUAAGUUUAAAAGCAAGAUUUUUCUUCGCAUUCCUUUUAUUUUCUCUCCUCUAAAUUUAAAUUGUUUUAGAAACCAGUAAGUUUACCAUUGCAGUUUCUUACAUAAGUAUUAAACAGUUAAUGUAUCACACAUAUUUCAAUAUAGGCAUUGUUCUGGGAUUUGUCAAAAUACUACUAGUUACUGUGGUAAGUGCCAGGUAAGACCCAGAGUUGUGUUUCAUCCAUCUGUUUCUUCUUGACUAGUUUCUUUACUGCUGUCUUUUAAUUACUGGAUCCUUUGUCCUUAUUUUCUGUGAUACGAUUUAGCACCUUUAAGUCAUAUUUUGUCUUAGUAUAUUAUACUAGAAAGUUUCAUAAUCCUGGGAUGUAGGCACCAUUGCCAGUUAUGACUAAAACUUGAAAAAGAUUAAAACUUUUAGAAAUUCUUUGAAAUUUCCCAAAUUUCAUCACAUUCAGCAAUAGCCCAUUCAUUCCUGUGAGCAGAAAGUCAUUUAACUCAUUUGGGAGGAAGCCUAUAAUCACAUUUUCUUUCCAGUGUUUCUCAUCAUUAGAUCUGUGUUUCCUAUUAUUUUUAUAAAAAGAUCCUUUCACUCCCUUUGUAUUGAUUUAUCUCAUGGUGUAUGGUAAGCAAGGUUAUAUGGGAGCUAAAGGAAAAUGCCUAAGAAACUGUAUAAGCCUUUAGAUUGCUUCUUACUUGGGACAAUACAUUUUUCUAAUUCUUAUGAGGAAUAACAAUUUUCACUUUUUUUUAAACUGCACUUUUGACCUUAUGUUUUUUUUAUGGUAUAUAAACAAUAAUUUAUAAACAUGAUAUAAAAACUCAUUGUUUUUUUAGACUUUUGAUAUUAUUUGAUACUGUACAAAACUUUAUUAAAUCAAGAUUAAAGACCUACACGGCAGAUUCCUCAGUGUUCACGUUAGCGGCUUUGUAUACAAAUAUGCUGUGAUGGAACUGUGUGCUCUAAUUUAUUGUGAAGACCUUGGGCAUGAAGAGGCCUACAAAAUGUAAAGCCUUUAAAGAAGACAUUUAACAUUAAAACAGCACAGAAGUACAUGGUUUCAGGCAACUGAGCAAGUUGGACAACAAAUUUGGUUCUAAAUUUUCUUGCUGCUAAAACAAAUGGUUUUGUAUUUCAAAACAGAAAAUUCAAAAACUUGUCACAAGAGGCUGGUUUUUUCUUAAACUAAAGAGAGGAUUACAUUGGACAUCUCCGUGAAUGUAAAGAAAAUGCAAAAUACAAAGGAAGGUCAUAAUAAUAAAUCUUAACCCAAUGAAGGCACAUCUUAGUGUGAUGUGGGAACACUGGUUUCUGAUCAGUUUAUCUGCCGGGGUAGAGCUAAAGAUCCAGGUGAUCGACAGCUAAGCCAGCCUGGGACUGCCGCAUAGGAUAUGCCUUCACUGAACCCUUGAUGGGUGUCAGAUCUCCUUUAUCUCUUAAUUGAACGUUUGGCAGUGUGCUACAGGAGGAGAAGGGAAUGAAACCAACAAACUUCAGGCAUUGUUACCAGCAUAAUGCUAAUUGUAUAUAUUCUCUCAUCUUUGAAGUCAGUGUGAAAACUUUGCAAAUUGUUUACUAAUGUGAAAGCCAUAAAUUUAGUAAUUUAAGAUAAAACUUAGCCAUCUUGUGGAAAUUAUUACACCCUUCACAGAGAGUAUAGUACCCAGUGUUAAACACAGAGAGAAAAAAUGUAGAUCUAGAGGAAGAAGAUCUUCAAUUCAGGAGCAGCAUUAAGUCCACCUGUGCAGGACUGUCAUCAUCACCGUCCCUCUGUGACAUCCCUGAUCCCAAAAUUAACACAAGAUGUCAACCCCCAGGUGCCGUCACAUGGCAGGAAACCUCUAAUCCCAACAUCAAAAGCACUAUUAUGAGUGAAGUUCUAUGUACCUUUUGUGAAGGGAAACACUCACUCCAAAGGUUUAACAAAAAGCAAAGGAUUUUCCCACAUUUCAAACCACAAAGAGAUCAAAAACAUUCCUUUGACUUAACAGCUUUUGUCAGUGUCUUUGUCAUGUUUCAGAUGAUGAUUAGGCAUUAAAAGAACCUCCUAAAUGUCUUCUGAACGUCUUUAUAGCUCUGCUGUUGUCUGAUGAGGAUACCUUCUUGUUUCAGGAGCGCCUCAGCUGAUGAGGCAGGACAGGAAAAGCCUAGUUGUGAUUACAGGAGUAAUUUCCAGCCAGAGAAGAGUAUGCUCUCUUGCAAAAUGGUGUCUGCUAUGUUGUUCAUAAUCAGAAGGAACCUUGGGAUUUGGGGGGGGGUGGGGUUAAGAUUCAAGAAGGAUGAUCUGGUCCAGUUUUAUUAAUGACAAGACUGAAGCCUAGAGAAGAGAAGUGAGCGCCCACGUCUCAGAGCUAGUCCAGCGCCCCUUCCUUGCUUCCUGCUGUCUCCCGCUUUAGCCGGCUACGUCUUUGGAAAGCUGUCUUUCUAAACAGCAACCCAGAUGUUUCACGAAAGCUUAUUAAUCACUCUCAUUUAAAAUGUAAUUUAUUCUACAAUAAUUCUUUUUCAAAGCAUUAUGUUUUACUUUGUUAUUCUACAAUUUUGUUGCCAUAAUUUCUUGGCACCUGCAAACUCUGUGAGACAAUUACUGUGAAUUCUUAAUAAACAAUUAACAAUUUGUAGCCUUGACACUAGACAGAAAGAACUUUCAGUGUUUUGCUUUUGUGAUCUUUUUGAAAUCUAAAGGAAACAAUGUAUACUCUAGAAAUUAAACACUUGUGUGCUGUAUCUCUUGAGUUUGGAGAAUGAUUUGAGUUCUGAGCCAUUAAAAUGACAAGUUGACCUCGCAUAUCAUUUUAGCUUUCUGCAAAAUCAGUUAUCCAUGUUUUAUGUACUUCUACUAACAGCAGAUUCAUCAUUCUGAAUUUGCUUUUCUUUGGCAACUUUUCCAUAUAUUUCUGUGAUUGGUUUAAUGGCUACAAAAGUCCAGGAAA
Molecule: RNA transcript, 5189 nt
Organism: Camelus dromedarius (Arabian camel)
Lineage: Eukaryota; Metazoa; Chordata; Mammalia; Artiodactyla; Camelidae
Gene: NETO2
Gene name: neuropilin and tolloid like 2
Exons: 10
Source: RefSeq, a predicted model, not a curated record